CAAGAUCUUCAACCUACACACUGGUUCUACGUUGCUCAAAGUUCUCUUGAGCUGACAAUCUCGUGACUCCAGAGGCAGAUAAGAAAGAAGGUCGGAGUCCAAAGACCACUGAAUUUGGAAUCAGAAGCUCAGUUGGAAUCGCAGCUCCGCUCUGUGCUUUUGAUGGAAACCUGAGUGGAACUCACAGUGAAGAAAUUGCUCUCAUCCCUCGCAUAAGUCUUCAUCAAUAUGUAAUCCUAAAGAGUUGUCUGGUACAAUGAAAUAUUCAAUAUGAAGGGACCCAUAGCCCAGACAUGUCAGAUAUAAUUAUGAUGCAUAAGGAUUUCUGCUCCAGCCUUUUACUUUGAAUCUGUGUGUGUCACUCUUCCUCAAAUGUUUUUCUUGUAAACAACAUAUAGUAGGAUUCUGGAUUUUAAUCCACUCUGCCAGCCACUUCUGCUUUAUAGCACUAGAAGCUUGGUCUUAUUGUCGUUUCCACUUCACAGAAGUAGAAAAUGAGGCAAACAGAAGGGUGAGAUAUAUUGCUACAUUCCUUGGGUCUGGCCUGCUCUCCAGUUUUCCUAGAAGUUUUUUUGUCAAAUAUGGAUCAUGGCCAGAUAUGAAGAGGAAAUGGAUCUCAUUCUUGGUGAGAAAACCUUGUAUUCCAUAUUUUCUUAGCUGACACAGAGUGUCAAUGAUUGUAAGCUACAUUUUUGAAUUUUUAAAACUCUUUUAUUAUGUUUUUCUUGCAUGUGCAAUUUAUUUUUUCUCUCCUUUUUAUAUUUGAAGCCCAUGUCACCAGUAUUAAGAUUUUCUUUAACUUUUUAAUUUUACAGUAAUAUAAGAUUAAAAUACAUUUGCUAUAAUGUCAAUGCAUGCCCCCAAAACUUGAGACUAUAAAAAUGAUGCUAUUAAUUGUUUAAAAAAUUUAUGCGACUUUACUUAAUGAUUCUGUCUGAUUCCAGGACAAGAUACACAAAAGAGACAUUGCAUAGGGUCAAAGAGAAACCAAUCCAGGAUGGAUUGAUGCACUUCUAAGCCAAUACAAAGAUCUUGAACCUAGUGAUAAGACUCAAGGUUGAGAUGCUUAACAUACAUUAAGACCUUUUGAACCUUAAAAAUUCUCAGACCCUACUUCAUAAGGUUUGGUUAAGACCAUUCACCACUUUAAACAAUGAAGGGACUUAGAUCAUGAAUGUGAGAUCUCUACUCCACCCCUACUUAAGCCUGCUUUAGAGAAGAAACUCUUUGCUGAACAAUGAAAAAUAAUUAAACCCAUACUUAUAGUAAGGCAAAAGUUCUUAAGCCAUGCCUAAUUUUAGAUCUAAUACAAAAGGGUGCUAAGUACCUAUGAAAGUCAGGCAACUUGUGAAUUUACAAGGAGCAAAGAGGUGAGACUUAGAGAUUUUUUCAGGUGUGAACUUAAUCAAAGGUUUAAAGUCUACUCAGGUGUGACUUAAGAAUGGUCUGUCCUUUGGAAAACAUCUACUAUGAUUGGUAGAUGUGAGAACUUAGGGGACGAGACAUAGGAGAAAAUGCCCUUUAAAUAGGAGCUCAAAUAGAGCUGGGGAUAAUUCAGCUGGGAAACAGCUGAAAGAUACACAUUCAGCUGGUGGAGUCAGCUGAGAUGGAGCUGGCCUGGUGUCUCUAUGAACACUAGAAUCUUGCUUGGGACAAAUCUU
Molecule: long non-coding RNA, 1661 nt
Organism: Monodelphis domestica (gray short-tailed opossum)
Lineage: Eukaryota; Metazoa; Chordata; Mammalia; Didelphimorphia; Didelphidae
Source: Ensembl